This 109-nucleotide small RNA is filed under the name Devosia limi DSM 17137. RNAcentral's name for it is "EcpR1". It matches the Rfam family "EcpR1". Rfam says of the family: Perviously named SmelC291, SmrC10, or Sra33. According to its overproduction phenotype it was renamed Elongated Cell Phenotype RNA1. Lineage: Bacteria; Pseudomonadati; Pseudomonadota; Alphaproteobacteria; Hyphomicrobiales; Devosiaceae. The record is from Rfam by way of RNAcentral.
GUUCCCUACGGUUCCCCCAGGUCCGCCGCAACGCCUGGGUCCGUGGGGCGGCUGGUCCGAAUGUGGACAGAGUGGCCUCUACGACAUGCCGCUUCGGACCAGCCACUUU